GAGUCUGGCUGUCAGCACCCUUGGAGUCAGGGAGGCACAGCAGAGCUGAGCACUGCCAGUUUGUGCCUAGCCACAAACACAACCCUCCCUCUCCAGAGAGAAGAAAAGAGAGAGGAAAAGCAUAAGAGCUGCUGCCCCAGAACUUCCCUGUUCUUGCUGCUGUAGAAGAUCUCCCAGCCUUCAACUCACUGCCAGGACUGCAAGUGGCAGAAAACACCUGCCUCAGUGCCAGCCUGCUCCUACAAACCCCACAGCUUGCACAGAGUAGCCGAGCUGAGCUGAUGCCAGGAACGUGAAGGUCUUGUAAGAGGUGACAUUUAAAGUUGUGUAUUCCCAGCUUUUGUAAUUACAGGUUAGCCAUUUGGUUUUCAUUCCUUUCAGCAGGGUCUGAGAUAUUGGUGUCAUAGAUUUUCUGCCUGAUCUACACCGGUUACUUCCUUAUCUUCAUUUAUUCUUUUAAAGAUACAUCACUUGAACUUUAUCCUGUGGCUUUCUUGCCUAACAUCAGUCAGGAAAAUGCUUAAAAAUGAAAGAAUUAAAUAUUUUUGGAUAAUAGAAAAUCUCUUUUGAAGGAGAUGAAAAGAGUUAAAUCCCACAAACUUGUCACUCGAUGACAGAAACCCUGACUUCUGAAAGUUGUACACACGUGCAGCCUGGCCUGCCCCCAAUGUCUUGACUGCCAUGAAACUAGAAACAUUUAUUAGCAUAAAAAAUUUGUAAUCUAGUCUGAAAAAGAAAACAAACAAACAAACAAACAAGAAAAAAGGCAAAUAGUACACAGCUCUCAUUUAUGAGAGCAUUUUUAUUUUCCAGAAGACGUCAGUUUAAUUCUCCAUUUACUGUCACCAUACCCAGCAACUUUUGAUCUCCCCCCACAAAAUACAGCACAGUAGAGUGUCUCUUUAAAUUCAUUUAUAAAAUAAUUCAGGACUGUGGGUGUCUUUGAUCUGUUCGUCUCUGCUAAAAUACAGAAGAGAAGAACAUGUCGCUUAGCAACCCCGCUUAGCCGGCACUGGGGGAGGCAGGAGGGAUGGAUGGUCCAGA
Molecule: long non-coding RNA, 1044 nt
Filed under: Cyanistes caeruleus (blue tit)
Lineage: Eukaryota; Metazoa; Chordata; Aves; Passeriformes; Paridae
Description: lncRNA (ENSCCEG00000002449.1)
Source: RNAcentral